This 213-nucleotide ribosomal RNA is filed under the name uncultured bacterium. RNAcentral describes it as "partial 16S ribosomal RNA". It matches the Rfam family "Bacterial small subunit ribosomal RNA", at positions 524 to 736 of the family's 1533-position model. The record is from RNAcentral.
UACGGAGGGAGCUAGCAUUGUUCGGAAUUACUGGGCGUAAAGCGCACGUAGGCGGCUUUGUAAGUUAGAGGUGAAAGCCCGGAGCUCAACUCCGGAAUUGCCUUUAAGACUGCAUCGCUAGAAGUGUGGAGAGGUGAGUGGAAUUCCGAGUGUAGAGGUGAAAUUCGUAGAUAUUCGGAAGAACACCAGUGGCGAAGGCGACUCACUGGACAC